RNAcentral lists this long non-coding RNA (2401 nucleotides) under Mytilus galloprovincialis (Mediterranean mussel). The record is from RNAcentral. Lineage: Eukaryota; Metazoa; Mollusca; Bivalvia; Mytilida; Mytilidae.
ACAAUAUUUACAAUAUAGGACAAGUUUAAAAUUCAAUAUGUUUUGUUUAUACAGUGUCAAUAACGAUUUUAAAAAGCUAUCGUUAGUGUUAAAUAGAUACCUAUGUGUAUUGUCCAAACAGUAUUAUUUGUGCACUUUGUUACUGUAUAGAUGUCUUAUAUCUUAACUGUAAAUUUCGUAAUCUAGUACGCCUGUCUUCCUUGUCUUAAAUGGAUAAUUUUCUGACACUUUUUUAACCUGAUUGAUUUCUAAUAUUUUCAUGGAAUAUUUCAAAACUUUAAUUUUCACAGAAAGACAUUUCUAAGUGUUUAACUAAGUAAACAACCCCGUUUAUUUUUCCAGUUGAUUGUUAAACCUUGUACAUGUAAACACCUUUCUCUGUCUUUAACAGUAUGGUCAAUAAGAGGGCUUUAACAGAGAUACUUCAAAUUGAAGAAAACGAUGGAAAUUGAAUUCAAUGAAAUGACAAUUUUUUUCAAAUACCUACACAGAUUACCUCAUGUUUGAAAGAUUUUUUAAGCUUGAAUUCCUUACUACAAAUACAUAUUAUGGCUUUUUGGUCUGCCAUAACUGGAUAUCAGUUCAGUUAUUGAUAUCCAUAAAAAACACUUCCCAUGAAAUGUCUUCCUUAUGAUUUAUCUGACGUACUAUUAGCCGAGUAAGGGAAAAUUUAGGUACUGAUCUGAAAUGAACUGUUGAAUAUAACAUGAAAUUGACUGCUUCCUUGCAAUGUUGAAAUUAUUCUGGACCAUUCUACCUUUAAAUGGACCUAUAUGUCUGGUCCUUUAUUUAUCUUUAGUCCAUUAUAUAGCAAUAUUUGUAUUUAUAUUGUCUGGGUAUUGUUAUCAAAUGUUUAUUUGUUGUUUUGUAUUUAUCAGUAUAUAAUAUGAAGUUUCAUACCUAAUUUGACAGUUGACCUACUGGGUUUUAUCUAUAGGUAUAUAUCUCUUAAAGAUAAAAGUUAAAUGGACUCUCAGAUAGGCUCCAUUUAUUCAUAUACUUGGAAUGUGAACUUAACAGGAAUAGAAUGUUGAAAUGAAACAGAAUGUGGGCCACAGAUCACAAUUAAUUCCUCUAUCAGUUCUUUAUAACAUUUUGCAUCAGUAAAAAAAAUUGCAUCAUGCACUUUUGUCAAAUUUUUUGUGUGUGUAAUGUAUAGUCCUAGUCCAAAUAUAUAUCCCAAAUUCAGAAAGAUUGAACCAAUCACUUUUACAAAUUUAGCCAAUACACAUCCAUACCCCUAUUGACAAGUCAAGAGAUGUUCCGAAAACUGUAAAUAUUACCUUUUUACACUUGGCCUAAUCACUCAUUCCAUAUCAAAAUCAGUUUAAAUACAACAUCCAAAAAUUUAUUUCACCUGUCUUCUUUCAUUUCCACCCAAAAUAAUCUAAGAAAUGAGUGAAGGGAAAGAAAAAAAAUUAAGGAAAAAUACACUCUAAUUAAAAGGAACUAUAUUCGUGGACAACGAAAAGUGGGGUCAUUAAUUGUGGUCUUGGGCCUAUUAGGGGCCUAAAACUUGACCAAUUCUAAUAAAACUUGACAUGAUUUAAGCUUAGUAUAUUGUAAAACAGUUUACAAAGUUUCAAAGCCAUAAGAUACCAAAUAAACAAAAUGUGGCAUUUUUUAUAUUUGAACUUUGGGUACUGAAUUGUGGCGUUGAAUUAAAACAAUUUCAACUAUCAAAUUUGAGCUUCUAAAAACCACUGACCACUUCUGCAUUAAGAAGAAAUCUAUAAGCAGCUAAUGGGAUUCAAUUAUCUCCCUUGAAAAUAAUAGAAAACUCAAAUGAAUGAAUUUAUGAUAUUGAAUUUGACUUGAAAAUCCUUUUAUGUUUUACAACAUUUUUAAUGGACUCAGUAAAUAAAGCAAAUUGACUUUGUAAGUGAUCAAACAUUCUAAAUAUAAACAGAAAUUUGAAUGAUUUAUAGCAUUGUGGGCCCUAGAUUUCUGGCAAGUCUGAUAUGAAUAAAAAAUGUAUUCAAGUAUUAAAACCUUAGUGAUUUAUUUCCCUUUAUUUCUAGAGGAAAAUAGAUAAAUUGUCAGAAUUUAGUGAUGAGAGAGAAAAAUAAAUGUUCUAGAUAUACAUAUAUAUAGUAUAUAGACAUACAUAUAUAUGUAGUCUUCUCUAUGGUUGGGCUGUUGUCUAUUUGACACAUUCCCCAUUUCCAUUUUCAAUUUUAUACUUUUUAUAAAUUGUGACUUAUAUGGAGGGAGAGUUGUCUCAUUGGCACUCAUACCACAUCUUCCUAUAUCUAUUUACAUUUGAAAAAGGUUAAAGCUGACUGUGUGUGAUAUUUGAAAAAUGUAAAAUGAUAAAAACAGGAUAUCAAUUACAUAUUGACAAAAUCAAAAAACCUUUUACCAACUCAUUUCUUAACUUUAAAUUUUAAAAGCAACCUCA